GUAGGGUGCGAGCGUUGUCCGGAUUUAUUGGGCGUAAAGAGCUCGUAGGCGGUUUGUCGCGUCGGCCGUGAAAACCUGCAGCUUAACUGUGGGCGUGCGGUCGAUACGGGCAGACUUGAGUUCGGCAGGGGAGACUGGAAUUCCUGGUGUAGCGGUGAAAUGCGCAGAUAUCAGGAGGAACACCGGUGGCGAAGGCGGGUCUCUGGGCCGAUACUGACGCUGAGGAGCGAAAGCAUGGGGAGCGAACAGGAUUAGAUACCCUGGUAGUCCAUGCCGUAAACGUUGGGCGCUAGGUGUGGGGAUGGGUUCCACCGUUUCCGUGCCGUAGCUAACGCAUUAAGCGCCCCGCCUGGGGAGUACGGCCGCAAGGCUAAA
This 375-nucleotide ribosomal RNA is filed under the name uncultured bacterium. RNAcentral describes it as "bacterial SSU rRNA". It matches the Rfam family "Bacterial small subunit ribosomal RNA", at positions 527 to 898 of the family's 1533-position model. The record is from RNAcentral.